This 959-nucleotide ribosomal RNA is filed under the name uncultured candidate division CAB-I bacterium. RNAcentral describes it as "bacterial SSU rRNA". It matches the Rfam family "Bacterial small subunit ribosomal RNA", at positions 9 to 994 of the family's 1533-position model. The record is from RNAcentral.
GAGUUUGAUUCUGGCUCAGGAUGAACGCACAAGACGCGCCUAACACAUGCAAAUCGAAUGAAAAUAAUUAAUUAUUGUUUUCAUGGUGAACGGGUGAGUAACACAUAAGAAUCAGCUUUUAGAUAAGGCAUAAAAGAGUAAUAUCUUGGUAAUUCCUUAUAUGCGCAGCAGUGCUUAAAAAGGGGAGUCCCGUCUAAAAACGAGCUUAUGCCUGAUUAGCUAGUUGGCGAGUUAAAAGCUCACCAAGGCGAAGAUCAGUAGCUGGCCUGAGAGGGCGGCCAGCCACAUUGGGACUGAGACACGGCCCAAACUCCUACGGGAGGCAGCAGUGGGGAAUCUUCUGCAAUGGGCGCAAGCCUGACAGAGCGGCGUCGUGUGAAGGAAGAAGGCCUGAAGUAGGUUGUAAACUUCUUUUACUGAGUAAUGAAUAAUGACAACGCAGUAAAAAAGUAUCGGCUAACUCCGUGCCAGCAGCCGCGGUAAUAUGGGGGAUGCAAGCGUUAUCCGGAAUAACUGGGCGUAAAGCGUCUGUAGGUGGUUUAGUGUGUUCUUAGUUAAAUUCUGAAGCCUAACUUCAUGAAAAGUAAGAAAACUAUUAGACUUGAGUACGAUAGGGGUAAGAGGAAUUCUUCGAGAAGUAGUGAAAUGCGAAGAUACGAAGGAGAAGAUCAUAAGCGAAGGCUUCUUACUGAGUCGUAACUGACACUGAGAGACGAAAGCUAGGGGAGCGAAUGGGAUUAGAUACCCCAGUAGUCCUAGCUGUAAACGAUGGAUAUUCGGUGCCGGAAAUUUUAUUAGAACAUUUCGGUACCCUAGCUAACGCGUUAAAUAUCCCGCCUGAGGAGUACGCUCGCAAGGGUGAAACUCAAAGGAAUUGACGGGGGCUCGCACAAGCGGUGGAGCAUGUGGUUUAAUUCGAUGCAAAGCGAAGAACCUUACCAGGGCUUGACAGUAUGUAU